UGCCAGGGCAUCCACCGUGUACGCUUAGUCGCUUAACC
RNAcentral lists this ribosomal RNA (38 nucleotides) under Pantoea ananatis. Its description in RNAcentral is "partial 23S ribosomal RNA". The record is from RNAcentral. RNAcentral also lists the same sequence under 1 other name. Lineage: Bacteria; Pseudomonadati; Pseudomonadota; Gammaproteobacteria; Enterobacterales; Erwiniaceae.